This 214-nucleotide long non-coding RNA is filed under the name Hordeum vulgare. RNAcentral's name for it is "long non-coding RNA (HVUL_LNC006133)". Lineage: Eukaryota; Viridiplantae; Streptophyta; Magnoliopsida; Poales; Poaceae. The record is from RNAcentral.
AACUACUCACGCAUCAUCGAAAGGGAAAUGGUGUUGAUGUAGAAGCCCUCCAUCUCCGGAUCCCUCUCCAGCAGAGUACCGGAACGGUCUCCAGAUGGGAUCUCGCGGAAGCAGAGGCUUGCAGCGGCGGAAAAGUAAACGCGGCUCUCUUUUCUUCCGUGGCACGAUUUAUCAGAAUUUAUAGGCGGAGGAAGUAGGGCACCGGAGCCACGUG